GAUGAACGCUGGCUACAGGCUUAACACAUGCAAGUCGAGGGGAAACGACGGGGAAGCUUGCUUCCCCGGGCGUCGACCGGCGCACGGGUGAGUAACGCGUAUCCAACCUGCCUCUGACUGAGGGAUAACCCGUCGAAAGUCGGCCUAAUACCUCAUGGCAUCGUCUGCGGGCAUCCAACGACGAUUAAAGAUUUCAUCGGUCAGGGAUGGGGAUGCGUCUGAUUAGCUUGUUGGCGGGGUAACGGCCCACCAAGGCUACGAUCAGUAGGGGUUCUGAGAGGAAGGUCCCCCACAUUGGAACUGAGACACGGUCCAAACUCCUACGGGAGGCAGCAGUGAGGAAUAUUGGUCAAUGGGCGGGAGCCUGAACCAGCCAAGUAGCGUGCAGGAUGACGGCCCUAUGGGUUGUAAACUGCUUUUAUGCGGGGAUAAAGUGAGGGACGUGUCCUUCAUUGCAGGUACCGCAUGAAUAAGGACCGGCUAAUUCCAUG
RNAcentral lists this ribosomal RNA (491 nucleotides) under uncultured bacterium. RNAcentral's name for it is "partial 16S ribosomal RNA". It matches the Rfam family "Bacterial small subunit ribosomal RNA", at positions 28 to 507 of the family's 1533-position model. The record is from RNAcentral.